This 357-nucleotide long non-coding RNA is filed under the name Pan troglodytes (chimpanzee). Its description in RNAcentral is "long non-coding RNA NONPTRT002850". Lineage: Eukaryota; Metazoa; Chordata; Mammalia; Primates; Hominidae. The record is from RNAcentral.
UAGAAACCUGCAACCUAGGGAAAACUAGGGAAAAGAUGAUAGUCUGACUGCUGCUUGCACAAAUAGCAGGGAGGCCUUUCUUUAGUACAAUGGACUGACAAUGAGCAUAGUUUUUGUAAGGAUGUGAAAAUUCUGGUGGAGAGAGAACUGAUUGAUCUGCACCCCUGCCCUGAUAGAAGAGCUGGAAUAACAAGUUACGAAAUACAACCAUCAUCACAGCUGAGAAGGAUGUGAGAGCCGAUUCUGCACUGCAAUCACCAGCUCACAGCACUUAGUUGAAUGUCUCCUCUCCUCCAAAACCAGAGCCAAGGCCAUCAGCAGAACCCUCAAAGUCAUCUGAGAUGAGAUACUGCAGGA